AUGGCUCAGGAUGAACGCUAGCUACAGGCUUAACACAUGCAAGUCGAGGGGUAGCAGGGUAGCAAUACUGGCGGCGACCGGCGCAAGGGUGCGUAACGCGUGAGCAACAUGCCCGUAUCAGGGGGAUAAUCCAGGGAAACUUGGUCUAAUACCCCAUAGUAAUCUUGUAAGGCAUCUUAUAAGAUUUAAAGCUUUGGUGGAUACGGAUUGGCUCGCGUGACAUUAGCUGGAUGGUAAGGUAACGGCUUACCAUGGCUAUGAUGUCUAGGGGUUCUGAGAGGAAGGUCCCCCACACUGGAACUGAGACACGGUCCAGACUCCUACGGGAGGCAGCAGUGAGGAAUAUUGGACAAUGGAUGGAAAUCUGAUCCAGCCAUGCCGCGUGAAGGAAGAAAGGUCCUAUGGAUUGUAAACUUCUUUUGUAUGGGAGCAAUAAGGCCUACGAGUAGGUUGAUGAGAGUACCAUACGAAUAAGCACCGGCUAACUCCGUGCCAGCAGCUGC
Molecule: ribosomal RNA, 503 nt
Filed under: uncultured bacterium
Lineage: Bacteria
Description: bacterial SSU rRNA
Rfam family: Bacterial small subunit ribosomal RNA
Source: RNAcentral